AUGCGGCCGGGCCGAGACGACGACGGCCCCACAAGUAGACACCACACUGGCCGACGACCCUUCCUGCUUCAAGAAGAAGAGAUGGACCCAGAGACCUAUGCUGGGCUCCACGCCCAGGUAGCCUUCGCACAACAUGAUGAAGCCGGAGAGCUGACACACCGCGUUUGUGCCCAAGUGGUGCGAUUGCAGCUCGAAGAAAUCCAGGAAGGAGUGGAAGAAGGUGCUCGCAGGGAGGCCGAGCCCGCGCUGGGUGAGGAAGACACGCGCUCGGUCCCCUCCGGCUACUGCACAACCUCGUCGCCCGCCAUGCGCACGGCCACCUUCCUCAUCGGCGGCAGUCUCCUGGUGUCACAGAGGUACUGA
Molecule: ribosomal RNA, 363 nt
Filed under: Triticum aestivum (bread wheat)
Lineage: Eukaryota; Viridiplantae; Streptophyta; Magnoliopsida; Poales; Poaceae
Description: partial small subunit ribosomal RNA
Source: RNAcentral